AGGGCACCACCAGGAGUGGAGCCUGCGGCUUAAUUUGACUCAACACGGGAAAUCUCACCAGGCCCGGACACCGGAAGGAUUGACAGAUUGAGAGCUCUUUCUUGAUUCGGUGGGUGGUGGUGCAUGGCCGUUCUUAGUUGGUGGAGCGAUUUGUCUGGUUAAUUCCGAUAACGAACGAGACUCUGGCCUAUUAACUAGACGUUAGAUCCUUUAUGGGUUUGACGAUGCUUCUUAGAGGGACGGGCGGCUUUUAGCCGCACGAGAAUGAGCAAUAACAGGUCUGUGAUGCCCUUAGAUGUUCUGGGCUGCACGCGCGCUACACUGAAGAAAUCAGCGUGUGUUCCCUAUCCGAAAGGAUUGGGAAACCCGUUGAACCUUCUUCGUGAUGGGGAUUGGGGAUUGCAAUUAUUCCCCAUGAACGAGGAAUUCCCAGUAGGCGCGAGCCAUAAGCUUGCGUCGAUUACGUCCCUGCCCUUUGUACCCACCGCCCGUCGCUACUACCGAUCGAGUGAUUUAGUG
RNAcentral lists this ribosomal RNA (519 nucleotides) under uncultured eukaryote. RNAcentral's name for it is "SSU rRNA". It matches the Rfam family "Eukaryotic small subunit ribosomal RNA", at positions 1161 to 1703 of the family's 1831-position model. The record is from RNAcentral.